RNAcentral lists this long non-coding RNA (1014 nucleotides) under Malus domestica (apple). Its description in RNAcentral is "long non-coding RNA (MDOM_LNC001090)". The record is from RNAcentral. Lineage: Eukaryota; Viridiplantae; Streptophyta; Magnoliopsida; Rosales; Rosaceae.
UUGUCUCGAAUGUGAGUAAAGGUUGGGCAUGUUUGCUAGUCUACCUUGCCACGAAGCACAAAGGUUGACACACAGGGACUUUCCAAUUAUCCAGCAAUGGUACUGUUCCUUUACCCUCUCUUCGAUUUUGAGAAAGUAGUCAUGUUGGGAGUCUGGCUCUCGAGAUUCGGAGGAUGGUGCCUCUUCGAUUUUGGAGCAAGCAAGCAAUCUUGUUGGGAGUGUUUUCUCGAAUGUGAGUAAAGGUUGGGCAUGUUUGCUAGUCUACCUUGCCACGAAGCAUAGAUAGAGGUUGACACACAGGGACUUUUCCAAUUAUCCAGCAGUAGUACUGUUCCUUUACCCUUGUGGGUAAUAAUAUGGUAGCUAGACCUUCAAAAUUUAUGUGUCCAAACUUUGUUAGUGCUGUUUCUUUGCUAUUCUUUUACCUUUCUUGGUCAGAGCGAUGUAGUGGGAGCUGCAAGCUUCACGUGCUCAACUUUUGGCAGAGAACUUUGGCAAAGUUAUCUGUGGUACCCAUGAGCUAUUGUUGCGUGUGGGAAGUGGGUGAUUGAACAGUAAGAUUCAUGUGCUUUCUACUUCACCAGAAGUCUUCGACAGAAUGCCCAUAAUUUCUGCAAAGCUGAGUGUGCGUGUGACAGGUGCUGACAAGGCUAGAAAAGUAGGUGCCUCUUCGAUUUUUGAGAUCGGCCCUCGUGGUCUCUGAGCAGCCCAGCUUUUGAGAAAGCGAGCGCCUCUUCGAUUGAUUCGGAGAACGAUGCCUCAUCGAUUUUUGAGAAAGCAAUCAUGCUGGGGGUCUGGCUCUCGAGAUUCGGGGAGUAGUGUCUCUUCGAUUUUUGAGAAAGUAAUCAUGUUGGGAUUUUGGCUCUCGAGAUUCGGAGGGCGGUGCCUCUUCGAUUUUGGAGCAAGCAAUCUUGUUGGGAGUGUUUUCUAGAAUGUGAGUAAAGGUUGGGCAUGUUUGCUAAUCUACCUUGCCACGAAGCACAGAGGUUGACACACAGGGACUUUCCAAUUAUC